ACAACUUUACGGAGUUGACGAUUGACGGAGCGAAGCGACGUCAAAGCGUUCAUUAAAGUCGAGUUGGCUUAGGGAUACGUUCGUUGGGUAGGGGAGCGUUCUGUAAGCCUGUGAAGGUGUGUCGUGAGGCAUGCUGGAGGUAUCAGAAGUGCGAAUGCUGACAUAAGUAACGAUAAAGCGGGUGAAAAGCCCGCUCGCCGGAAGACCAAGGGUUCCUGUCCAACGUUAAUCGGGGCAGGGUGAGUCGACCCCUAAGGCGAGGCCGAAAGGCGUAGUCGAUGGGAAACGGGUUAAUAUUCCCGUACUUGGUGUUACUGCGAAGGGGGGACGGAGAAGGCUAUGUUGGCCGGGCGACGGUUGUCCCGGUUUAAGCGUGUAGGUGUGUGUUCCAGGUAAAUCCGGUUCACUUUAACACUGAGGCGUGACGACGAGGCACUACGGUGCUGAAGCAACAAAUGCCCUGCUUCCAGGAAAAGCCUCUAAGCAUCAGGUAACAUCAAAUCGUACCCCA
RNAcentral lists this ribosomal RNA (511 nucleotides) under Salmonella enterica. RNAcentral's name for it is "partial 23S ribosomal RNA". It matches the Rfam family "Bacterial large subunit ribosomal RNA", at positions 1167 to 1651 of the family's 2925-position model. Lineage: Bacteria; Pseudomonadati; Pseudomonadota; Gammaproteobacteria; Enterobacterales; Enterobacteriaceae. The record is from RNAcentral.